Molecule: ribosomal RNA, 253 nt
Filed under: uncultured bacterium
Lineage: Bacteria
Description: partial 16S ribosomal RNA
Rfam family: Bacterial small subunit ribosomal RNA
Source: RNAcentral
UACAGAGGGUGCAAGCGUUGUUCGGAAUUAUUGGGCGUAAAGGGCGCGUAGGCGGUUCGGCAAGUCUCUAGUGAAAUCUCUGGGCUCAACUCAGAGUCUGCUGGGGAAACUGCCGGGCUUGAGUGUGGGAGAGGAGAGUGGAAUUCCCGGUGUAGCGGUGAAAUUCGUAGAUAUUGGGAAGAACACCGGUGGCGAAGGCGACUUCCUGGCCUGUUCUUGACGCUGAGGCGCGAAAGCUAGGGGAGCAAACAGG